UGCUUAUCUUACCUGCCGUUUAGUGGGGGAUAAAAUACCGCAUAUUCUGGUUUCGACCAGGAAAGGACUUCGGUUCGCUAAAUGAUGGGGAUAAGGCGUAUUAGUUUGUUGGUGGGGUAAAGGCCUACCAAGACCAAGAUGCGUAGCCAAACUGAGAGGUUGAAUGGCCACAGGGAAACUGAGACACGGUUCCCACUCCUACGGGAGGCAGCAGUGAGGAAUAUUCCGCAAUGGGCGAAAGCCUGACGGAGCGAUGCUACGUGAAGGAUGAAGGUCUACGGAUUGUAAACUUCUUUACUUGGAUGUACUCCUUAAAACUUGCAUCCGAGCAAAAAGUCACGACUAACUAUGUGCCAGCAGUCGCGGUAAGACAUAGGUGGCGAACGUUAUCCGGAAUUAUUGGGCGUAAAGGAUGCGUAGAUGGUAGAAUAAGUUAUUGGUUGAUACCAAACUCAAUUUGGUGGAGGCUGGUAAUACUGUUCGGCUAGAGGGCAGGAGAGGUUGAUGGAAUUCUGUGUGGAGCGGUGAAAUGCGUUGAUCUACAGAGGAACACCAAAAAAGGCGAAGGCAGUCAACUAUUCUGUUCCUGACAUUGAGGCAUGAAAGCGUGGGGAGCAAACCGGAUUAGAUACCCGGGUAGUCCACGCCCUAAACGAUGAGCAUUAGAUAUUGGGCAUUUUGCUUAGUGUCGCAGCUAACGCUUUAAAUGCUCCGCCUGAGUACUACGGUCGCAAGGCUAAAACUCAAAGGAAUUGACGGGGACCCGCACAAGCGGUGGAGCAUGUGGUUUAAUUCGAUACGACGCGCAGAACCUUACCAAGGUUUGACAUGGAGGGCAAAGUUGAAGAAACUUAACGGAGGUUAUCCCGACACAGGUGGUGCAUGGUCGUCGUCAGUUCGUGCUGUGAAGCGUACGCUUAAGUGCUAGAACGAACGCAACCCUCAUAUUUAGUUGCUAUCAUUUAGUUGAGAACUCUAAAUAGACUGCUAAGAUAACUUAGAGGAAGGAGAGGAUGAAGUCUGAUCGUC
This 1029-nucleotide ribosomal RNA is filed under the name Candidatus Moeniiplasma glomeromycotorum. RNAcentral's name for it is "bacterial SSU rRNA". It matches the Rfam family "Bacterial small subunit ribosomal RNA", at positions 114 to 1194 of the family's 1533-position model. Lineage: Bacteria; Bacillati; Mycoplasmatota; Mollicutes; Mycoplasmatales; Mycoplasmataceae. The record is from RNAcentral.